AUCGCUUCUCAGCCUUUUGGCUAAGAUCAAGUGUAAAAAAAAGAUGGAAAUUAUAUUAUCUCUAUAUUUUGCAACUUGUAUUUAGAAUUGACUCUACUAAGUGGGUUUUCUUAAUGUCACUUUUUAAGAUACCCUUUCCCAAA
Molecule: small nuclear RNA, 143 nt
Filed under: Marmota monax (woodchuck)
Lineage: Eukaryota; Metazoa; Chordata; Mammalia; Rodentia; Sciuridae
Description: U2 spliceosomal RNA
Rfam family: U2 spliceosomal RNA
About the family: U2 is a small nuclear RNA (snRNA) component of the spliceosome (involved in pre-mRNA splicing). Complementary binding between U2 snRNA (in an area lying towards the 5' end but 3' to hairpin I) and the branchpoint sequence (BPS) of the intron results the bulging out of an unpaired adenosine, on the BPS, which initiates a nucleophilic attack at the intronic 5' splice site, thus starting the first of two transesterification reactions that mediate splicing.
Source: Rfam by way of RNAcentral